RNAcentral lists this ribosomal RNA (67 nucleotides) under Carpinus turczaninowii (Korean hornbeam). Its description in RNAcentral is "partial 26S ribosomal RNA". Lineage: Eukaryota; Viridiplantae; Streptophyta; Magnoliopsida; Fagales; Betulaceae. The record is from RNAcentral.
AUGCGACCCCAGGUCAGGCGGGACUACCCGCUGAAUUUAAGCAUAUCAAUAAGUCGGGAGAAAAAAA